GGGCAGAAGCAUAUCAAUAAGCGGAGGAAAAGAAACUAACAAGGAUUCCCCUAGUAACUGCGAGUGAAGCGGGAAAAGCUCAAAUUUAAAAUCUGGCAGUCUUUGGCUGUCCGAGUUGUAAUCUGGAGAAGUGCUUUCCGCGCUGGACCGUGUACAAGUCUCUUGGAAUAGAGCGUCRUAGAGGGUGAGAAUCCCGUCUUUGACACGGACUACCAGUGCUUUGUGAUGCGCUUUCAAAGAGUCGAGUUGUUUGGGAAUGCAGCUCAAAAUGGGUGGUAAAUUCCAUCUAAAGCUAAAUAUUGGCGAGAGACCGAUAGCGAACAAGUACCGUGAGGGAAAGAUGAAAAGCACUUUGGAAAGAGAGUUAAACAGUACGUGAAAUUGCUGAAAGGGAAACGCUUGAAGUCAGUCGCGUUGUUCAGAACUCAGCCUGGCUUUGGCUUGGUGCAUUUUCUGAGUAACGGGCCAGCAUCAAUUUUGACUGUUGGAUAAAGGCUGAGGAAAUGUGGCUCCUUUGGGAGUGUUAUAGUCCUUGGUUGCAUACAAUGGUUGGGAUUGAGGAACUCAGCAUGCCUUUAUGGUCGGGGUUCGCCCACGUUCAUGCUUAGGAUGCUGGCGUAAUGGCUUUAAACGACCCGUCUUGAAACACGGACCAAGGAGUCUAACAUGCCUGCGAGUGUUUGGGUGGAAAACCCGAGCGCGCAAUGAAAGUGAAAGUUGGGAUCUCUGUCGCGGAGAGCACCGACGCCCGGACCAGACCUUCUGUGACGGAUCCGCGGUAGAGCAUGUAUGUUGGGACCCGAAAGAUGGUGAACUAUGCCUGAAUAGGGUGAAGCCAGAGGAAACUCUGGUGGAGGCUCGUAGCGAUUCUGACGUGCAAAUCGAUCGUCAAAUUUGGG
Molecule: ribosomal RNA, 899 nt
Filed under: Lividopora vincta
Lineage: Eukaryota; Fungi; Basidiomycota; Agaricomycetes; Polyporales; Cerrenaceae
Description: Rigidoporus vinctus partial large subunit ribosomal RNA
Source: RNAcentral